This 25-nucleotide non-coding RNA is filed under the name Mus musculus (house mouse). Lineage: Eukaryota; Metazoa; Chordata; Mammalia; Rodentia; Muridae. The record is from RNAcentral.
UAGGAGGACCAGUGUGAAGAUGAGC